UACGUAGGGUGCAAGCGUUGUCCGGAAUUAUUGGGCGUAAAGAGCUCGUAGGCGGUUUGUCGCGUCGUAUGUGAAAACCCGGGGCUCAACCCCGGGCCUGCAUUCGAUACGGGCAGACUAGAGUUCGGUAGGGGAGUCUGGAAUUCCUGGUGUAGCGGUGAAAUGCGCAGAUAUCAGGAGGAACACCGGUGGCGAAGGCGGGACUCUGGGCCGAUACUGACGCUGAGGAGCGAAAGCGUGGGGAGCAAACAGG
Molecule: ribosomal RNA, 253 nt
Filed under: uncultured bacterium
Lineage: Bacteria
Description: partial 16S ribosomal RNA
Rfam family: Bacterial small subunit ribosomal RNA
Source: RNAcentral